UACGGGGGGAGCAAGCGUUGUUCGGAAUUACUGGGCGUAAAGGGCGCGUAGGCGGUUCGUUAAGUCCUGUGUGAAAUCCCCCGGCUCAACUGGGGAACUGCACAGGAAACUAGCGGGCUUGAGUUCGGGAGAGGGAAGCGGAAUUCCGGGUGUAGCGGUGAAAUGCGUAGAUAUCCGGAGGAACACCGGUGGCGAAGGCGGCUUCCUGGACCGACACUGACGCUGAGGCGCGAAAGCUAGGGGAGCAAACGGG
RNAcentral lists this ribosomal RNA (253 nucleotides) under uncultured bacterium. RNAcentral's name for it is "partial 16S ribosomal RNA". It matches the Rfam family "Bacterial small subunit ribosomal RNA", at positions 524 to 776 of the family's 1533-position model. The record is from RNAcentral.